Molecule: transfer RNA, 70 nt
Filed under: Bos taurus (domestic cattle)
Lineage: Eukaryota; Metazoa; Chordata; Mammalia; Artiodactyla; Bovidae
Also listed under: 4 other names
Rfam family: tRNA
About the family: Transfer RNA (tRNA) molecules are approximately 80 nucleotides in length. Their secondary structure includes four short double-helical elements and three loops (D, anti-codon, and T loops).
Source: Rfam by way of RNAcentral
UCCCAGUGGCUCAGUGAUAAAGAAUCUGCCUGCAAUGCAGAAGACACAGGUUCAAUUCCUGGGUUGGGAA